This 1148-nucleotide long non-coding RNA is filed under the name Coturnix japonica (Japanese quail). RNAcentral describes it as "lncRNA (ENSCJPG00005016459.1)". The record is from RNAcentral. Lineage: Eukaryota; Metazoa; Chordata; Aves; Galliformes; Phasianidae.
GAGGACAUAAGUUUAUUUUGAAUAUAAUUUUGGAGGCAGAUUUUGUCACAUACUGCAAAUUUGCAGACAGUCUUUUAAAAAAAAAAAAAAAAAAAAAAAAGCCUUUUUCCAUAGGAUAAUGCCUGUUUCUGUCAAAGUUUUGCAGGUAAAGAAAAAUUGAGAGCAAGAGAAAGGAGGGGGUACCCAUUCUGCUACCACUGCAACUGAAUAAUACAUGUCCAUUUGACAAGCAACGCUCACAGAUCAUCUUACAGAACAGAAUAUGAUUAAGAUAGGAAUAUUACUUGUAAGGAAGACAGAUCACACCUUCAUUCAGAAGGUGUUCGGUAGGGGCCAGGAGGAAAGAAAGAGUUUAACAUCAGUUGUUCCACCUCUGUCUGAAGAUUUCAAGGAAAUCAAGUUAGUAUUUCUGAUUUGCUCAUUGAUUCUAAAUAGCUCAGCAUUUUCAAGCAAUUUUAUAUCACUUGUAAAGUCAAGAAAAUCUGUUCUUUACAGAAUUUGGAUGGGCUUGUAUGUUUAGCUUCUAAUUAGAGCUACAGAUUUAAUUUCAAUCACAUUCUGGUAUUGAUUAUUUUCUACAGAGAAUGAAGAGGUACUACUUCUUCCUGAGGAGUACCUCAGGAAGGAAAAGGAUUACUUCUGUUCUGCAGCUGUGCCAAAGUGUACUGUAGAAUUUUUAAUGUUUAAAUGAAAAAUAAUGGUUCCUUCCUGAGAUUCCUUAAUCCGCUUGAAAGGUGGGAAGGUUCCCCUUCAGAUUUAUCUGAGACUGUCAAUGAUGUUGUAGCACUGGGUUAGAACUUUUAUUAAAUACUUGUCACAGCAGCAGUUACUUGCCAAAGGACAUUAUUUAAUAUGAGUUUCCAGAGGAUUCACAGAAAUGUUAAGUCAGAAUGAUUCUGAACAAGUUAUCUAGUCUAUCAGAACCAGAGGAUAGAAUGAUCAGCUACAUUUAGAUAAUUUGAGACACAUAUAAUUUUCCUGAUCUGCAAAAACACCAACAAACCAAAUAUAGUUGUGGUUGGUGUGUUUUGUUUUGUUUUCUGUGUAGCAUAUUCCAAGGUUUACCUAUUCUCAAAAUUAACAAGUUUUCCCUAAAGUCUAACACUGAUGCAAAUAAAGCUGAGUAGAUGUCUUAAUAAGGUAGAUGC